GCACUCACUUCAGCAGCACAUAUGCUAACAUUGGAACAAUACAGGGAAGGUUAGCUUGGCCCCUGAGCAAGAAUGACACAUAAAUUUAUGAAGAUUCCAUAUUUUUU
Molecule: small nuclear RNA, 107 nt
Organism: Aotus nancymaae (Ma's night monkey)
Lineage: Eukaryota; Metazoa; Chordata; Mammalia; Primates; Aotidae
Source: Ensembl